CUGAGGUAAAGGGAGACCUGAAAUCUGGGCUCUUGCUGAGGAGGAGAGUCAUGUCAGAUUAAGGCAGCGUGUGAGAGAUUUAUUACUUUUCAAAUGUCUGCAAUGACUAAGUGUUGUACAAAGGUUAGAAAAGGAAGCCAGGCCCAAAGUGCCUCACACUGCCUCGAUGUCAAUGUUUGGCGCCCAAGGAGGACCAAAUAAGCGGUAACACAAAGCUCUGCUGAGCCCUGGCGGAGUAGUUUGUGAAGUCUUGCCUGCGGAGAAAUGCAAUACUGAGCACAGAGAGGCAGCUCAGAGAGUCUGUUUAUUGAAAUAAAGUGAAAGCAUAAGCAGAAAAGCAAGUAGAAGGUCCCACUGCAAAAUGAUGACCUACUGAGAGCACUAGAUACUAAAGGAGGAUAUACGUGACCUUACCCAACAAGACCGUGAUAUAAGCUCCCCUCAAUUGAUCCACUAAACUUUGAGACUCCUCUUGCCGUGCAUCUGAGUUACUUCCGGCUUUCUUUUUCCUCUUAAAGGGGAAGAAGGAUUUGAACAUCUGGAAACAGGCAGUAUGUGAAACAGGUGUGAUUGCAAUGAGAAGAUGUGUAGACCAUCAUUUCUUUCACCAAAGACCACCUGCUGAGCAUAGUUCACAUCCCAAAUACCAUCACUUCAUUGAAAAAAGAAGAAGAAGCUUUUGCAGUCAUCACAGAAGACAAUUAUUGGCUAGGAUCCUGCUUCCUCUGCAACCCAUCCCCCUGUGCCCAUGAAAACCCACGACUGACGGUCAAGCAACAUCUGAAAUGGCAUGGGUUGAAGUGUGUUGCAGGAGCGGUGGGGGGGGGGUCUGCAGCAGUAGAAGAGAAUGAUAGAAAUUGAAGGUCUUUGCAUCAGUGUAAUAUACACCCUGAGGUCAUUCACACAAUCAAAAAUUGUGUUCUGUCUGGGUUUGGGAGCUAUGUGUGCUUCCAAUUUUUGGUUGUGCGGAAGCAAGGUAGGAGGAAAACCUGGGUAGCUUUUUCUUCCUACCUGGCUUCCACACAAUCAUUUUUACCCAGGUUCUCCUCUUACUCUGCUUCCACACAAUUGAAAACUGGGAGCACACACAGCUCCCAAACCCAGUUUUUGGGCACCCUCGCACCCAAAACAUGGGUUAAGAAGUGGGCUACCCAGGAGCUUUUGCCACCGCACUGCUGCCGGGAGCCAUGUGGCUCCUGUUGGUUCUCACACGCGGCUAAAAUUGGGCUGGGCUUCCCUAGCCUGAUUUUAGCCAUGUGUGAGAAUAGCCUCAUUGUUUUCAUUUAAGUGUGCAUGAAAUAUUACACAUAAAAUAUUAGUAAGGUAUAUUAAAAUAGUAAGUCUUUUCAUACUGUCUGCACUUUGGCAGACCAGUUGCUAAUAAUCAUAAUCAUAAAUAAUCUAUCAAAGGCCUCUGUGGCACCUUUCUUUCACUGAAGUAGAGUUUGAAUGCAUGCUCUAUGCUGGCCCCUUUAAAAUUAAGAAGGAAUAUGGAAUGACUGCAUUUGGCGGAUUAUGUCCAAUACAUAUAAAAAGCACGCAAAUAUAUAUCUAAUUUGAGGCACUGCUGGUGUUCCUAUAAAAUUCUCCUCUUAAGGGAGUUUACAGUGGGUGACAUGAUGACUAAGGAUGUGGAGGAGCUGCAUAAUCCAAAGCCCCAUUGUGUGGGUGGAGGAAUAAUGUUUGCUGAUCUCUCUCUCCACCAGAAGCACUUGUUCGCCCAUAAAUAUGUCCCUGAUGGUUGUGCAGUCCAAUUGCUGCCGCUGCCAUUAUUUUAUUGUAUUUAUCUGAUCUGAUCUGAUCUGAUCUAAAUAGAUAGUGCUUCUGCUGGAUAGAAAGAUAAUAAUCUAUCAAAUUGCACUUCCAGAGGAGGAAAGAUUGGUGAAAAUAAUUUCUCCCACUCAUGCGGUGAGACUCUGGAUUAUGAAUUCUUGCAUAGGUGUUUUGAAUGCAGUGCAUCUGCACCUUUAGUCAGCAUUCUCUGCCACUGGUCCAUUUUAGCUUGACAGUCAGACACAAGGACAUAGUUCAUGGAAACAAUGUGAUACUUUUCCCUCAGUCUAAAAUCUGCAAGAAAUAAUGGUGAAAAUCCUCCAAUAAAAGAAAAUUCCAUGAAGAUCAGAGAGGGAGAAGAAGUGUGUGUGUGUGUGUGUGUGUGUGUGUGUGUGUGUGUGUGUGAGAGAGAGAGAGAGAGAGAGAGAGAGAUCCUUUCCCUUGUUUCAUUAAGCACACUGUAAUUAGUAUUAAUUUAUUUUCAGUGUUAACUUACUGAGGCUUAUUUUGUUCUAUUGGCACUGAGUGAGAAGCAAUCCAUCAUUUAUUUGCUUCCCCUCAAGACCCUUAAUUAAAUAAGGAACCCUUCAAUGUAAUGACGAUGGAUCUUGUCAUUAACCUCCAAACAGUCUAGUGACAAAAGCGACAUGUUUGCAGCAUAUCUGGAACUCACAUAGGGGAGCAGCCACCACACAAGAAAUACAUUCUUAAAAGGAACGCAUCUCAGGAUGUUCUUAAUUAAGGGUGCGUUUUUCUAAAGCAGCAGGCAAUAGUGUAUUUUCAUACUGACAAAGGGUGGUAAAACUGCUGAAGUAAAUGCCCGUGCAAGAAACUUUGGGGACUGGGAAAUCAAACAUAUACAGGCCCCCUAUUUGCUCUCCAUUCACAACUGGCUUGCAUACAUAGAGACACAGAUACAGCUCAGCCCAUUCUCUGUCAUCAUCGUCUUCCUCGUCUGUGAGCUUGAAAAGGGCAUUAGGAAGACCCAUAGGGUUCCCACCCUCCUGGACUGAGUCCCCUCAGGAAUCCACUCCAUCCGGAGAGCACCAUUGCCCUCUGCCCAGAUGAAUCCUGGAUGAGCCUCCCUGAGGGAGGAGCCUUCAUAUCAAGCACACGUUCCCUACUCUUUCAUGUGCACUGAGAUUAAGAAAAAAAAGUGGCCCAAAUCAACAUUCAGUAAUUAAAACAAAUAAAAGAGGCAAAAAGAUAACGGACUAACCCAUUUAAAAAGCUACCAAUGGCUAAAAUAAAUUUUGAGAGAGAUUGAAUGUCAAUUGUCUUGAGAUUCACAUGGGGACAAAUCUUCUCCUUGUCCUCCUUUGCUCGCUGCCUGCCCCACCCAAGUGUGCUUCUUGCCCACCCCUACCCACACCACAGCCAAGCUUUAAUAGCCUAAAGUACUUACCUUCUUUCUGGCUGCCUGCAGCACUUUGUUGUUGUAACAAACUUUGACUGUACAAUGUUGGCAGUGCCGCAGCGGCAUACUGCUGAAUUCCUGAGUAGGCUUGGGUGAGAGCAUCCAUUGUGCCAGCUGUACCAUUCGUCAAGCCUGUGGCACCGAGUCCUCCAUUCAGGGCGGCCAUACCUGAGAGCAUUUGAGCAACUUUACAAAAAACCCAACAAUAGAGAAAAGAAAUUGCACUUGUUCAUUAGUGCUUUCCAAACGUCGUUGGCAUUAAUACGACACCGAUGACAAUGGCCAGGCAUGCAAAAAAUUUGGACACUUCACCAGAUGGCACGGAGAGAACAACAGCAACGACAACAGUGAAAAGAAACGCGCACAGAGACUUUGGUCAAGAACGAAUUCAGCACCAACUUGUUUUGCAUGCAAACUGCUCCUGGCAAGUACACCCCAGUCAUCAGGACAGAUCUGCCACAACGAAUAGUGAACUACAGUCAUGUUCUCACUGAGCCGGGCAAACUUGUGUCUGGGCAGACGGCGAGUUGGAAGGGGACUCACAUUGUGGAGUGUUUUGUGGUACAUAUCUUUACCCCAUCUUUGCAUUAAAAUGCUCACACAGCAGCUUACAAAAUAAAACAAGCAGAUGUCAGGGAAAUGGGUCCCUAGCCUUCUGCCUGACAUGCUGUUUUUCUAUGUAUAGGGUUUCUUUUUUAUAUAUUCAUUCAGUCACGUGAACUCCCAUCUGCCAUCCAAAGUGGCACAGCUCAGAAUAUGGCUUGCCUCUUCCAUGAGAACUUGGGCCUAUGGCUGUAAACAGACUAUGAGGUCAUUCACACAAUCAAAAACUGUUCUACCUGGGUUUGGGAGCUGUGUAUGCUCCCAGUUUUUGGUUGUGUGGAAGCAUCGUAAGAGGAAAACCUGAGUAGAAGUGACUCUCUGGAAGCAAGGUAGGAGGAAAACUCCUGGGUAGCUUUUCCUCACAGCCAAAAAUUGGGAGCUUCCACACAACCAAACAUUGUGUGCAUACACUGCUCCCAGACCUGGGUAGAAGUUUUUGAUUGUGUGAAUGACCUCUAUAGUUUUUAAGGUUAUUUUAAGGUUGUGUGAUAGAGGCAUCAUUGAUGGGGGAAUGAUCCUACUACCACCACUAACCCUGGUCAUCUGACACAUCUGGAGAUAUGAAUAUGGGAGAUCAUGACCACUGGGCUGUCUCUGACCUUCAGGUGAUGACCCUGCAUGUCUCAAGGUUUCCGAAUGCUCAAUUCAAAGCUUCACAUCAGUGUGUGGCAGUUGGGAGUUGGGCCAGAUGGCUCAGUCCUGCUCCCCACUAGCACACAUUCAUAUCCCCACAAAAGGUUCUGCAGUUUUUUGUAAUGCCAUAGGAACAAAAUAGCUCUUAUAGGCCAAUGUGCGUAAUGAAGCCCUCAUUAUUAUUAUUUUUAAAAUAUUUCAUGAUAAAGAGCCUGGGGACAUUUAAUCUGUUCUGCCCCCCAAUAACCUGCACACCCUGUUUGACAAGAGAUGCCAGUGGGGCAAAAGAAAGGUACAUUUUUAUCUAAUAUAUAUAUAAUCUAUUUUAUCAUCUUUAAUUCUCAAAGACACAAUUGUUUGUGGGUCAAAUAUUAAAUCUUACAUUAAAUGUGUGUUUCCCUUUUAAAAAAAAAUCAAGUAGUAGCUGUGCAGAAGUUGGGCAGGGAUCAAGACUGGGACUACAGCACAUGGGAGGGGGUACUUAACUCUUCCCCAGUGGCGGUUUUAAGCAGAGGCAGAGUAGGCACUUGCCUACGGUGGCAAAAUUUGAGGAGCGGCAAAGUUCAAUUGUGUUAAUGACCUCACAGUCUUCAAGGCUGCCUUUUGUUGCUGGGAAUUUUAAUUUCCCAUCUUUCCUCCAAAUACAUUUGUUGCGUUUGUGGUUGCUGAGUGGAAUGCUGUUGUGUAAGCACAGCAGUCAUCGCUUGGGCAUUUUGGUAAAAGAAAAAAUGGUGAGCAGCACAGCUUUGCCUUUAUGUGGCCUCACUACUUUAAUGAAUUUUUAAGUUUUUUAAAAUGCAUUUUCCCUUGGAGGCUGUGCAUCCUCUGGCUGUGUCACUCCAGUUCAUCUAAUGAUUUCUCUAACAAGUGGUAAACAGCAGAAAGACUAACCCUUGCAGCAAGGUUAUGCCCCUCCAUCUACUCUAUACAGACAGAAUACUGGGGAGAUUGUAAUGGAAAAGGGAGAACCACAGUGGCUAAAAUAAGACUGGGGGAAUGCUUUGACUGGUUGUGAAGAAAGGCCCAAAGACUAAAAUUAUAAGUCUAAUUCUCACAAUCAUACUGGAUCCAUGGGAGGAGGAAGCAGGAAUAUGUCAGCAUGCCUGCCACCGCUCUCUUGUGCAGGCAGCGUAUGCACAGGCUCUGUACAGAACUACCCACGAAUCCAUAGAGCUCAGGGCCUGCGGGUGCAAUCCCACUACCUUCACUUUGCACAUUUAGCAUAUCCUGACUAGCCAGAUGAAUGUGGCUUUUAAGAGAAUUUAAGAUUUGGAUUAGGUAUGGUGGGAGGAAGAAACUGCAUAGGUCUGAAAACUCUAGCUCUGUGGUAGCAUGCAGGCUUUGCUUGUCUGAGGUCCUAAAUUCAAUCCUUCACCCAAGGCCUGUUCAGGUGUAAUGCAAACUGAGGAUGCUGUACUUGUGUACAGCAUCCUUUAGAAUGGGCUUGAAAGCUCUGCCCCUGCUGUGGUGUGUGAAAACCCCACCGCUGCUUUUUACGCUUACAGUGUUUGUCUGCAGAGACAAAUGUACUGAUGGAGAGAUCAUCCUCAUGAUCAAAGCGCUGGGAGUGCUCCAGCUUUCAAGCACAUUCUUGGGGAUGGUGGACAUGGCUACAGCACCCUCAGUUUGCAAAACAUCUGGACAGGGCUCUUAUAGUUAAAGGAUCUCAACCAGGAGGGCUGGGAAACAUCUCACUCUGAAACCUGAGGAACUGCAGACAGCCAUAGUAGGCAGUGUUGGGCUAGAUGGACAGAGGCGUAACUAGGGAAAACGGUGCCCGGGGCAAGCACUGAAAUGGCGCCCCCCCGCGCCCCCAACAUACUACAUUAUACGUAGGUUUUUCCUCACAAGCGCCCGCCGCCACCGCCAAGCCAGGCCACUGACUGGCCACCAGGCAACAGCAAAGCAAUGGGGGGGGGCGCGGGGGGCACGGAAGGGACCGCUCAUGGGGGAGGGGGCGCCGACGCGCUCCCUUGACUGCUGCAGCGCUGCUGCACGGAGCAGGAAACAUUUGUAUUAACAAAAUAAUAACAAAAAAUUAAAAAAUAUAUAUUUUGUCAUGGCGGCGCCCCCCACGUGACCAGAAAAGAUGGCGCCCGGGGCACGUGCCCCCCCUGCCCCCCCUAUAGUUAUGCCUCUGCAGAUGGAUCAGUGGCUUCCUACAGUCACAUGGCUCCCUUAUAAUGCUACACAUUAGGAAGGGCCUGGAAUUCCAUGCUAGAGCACAUGCAUAAUAGCCCUGAUUCAAUUCCUGGUGUUUCAGAUAGCAGGGCCAUGAAGGACCCCUGGAAAGGAAAGACUGUGUUGAGAGCUGGAUUGGAACUUCUUUGUUUUUUACUAGAACCCUUAGGUCCACCAACUACUAGAGCCAGAUGCAAAAACAGUGGCUGAUAUACUGAGCAAGGUCACGCAUGUGAUGAAAUGGAAUGUCCAGUUGCUCAAGAGUGCAUAUAAUGGCGUCACUGUCACAGAAGUCUUGCUCGAGCCAAUUACCUCCUGCAUCCCAUGAGCCAUAAACUGAGAUGGAACCAAAUUUCUGUUGUUGUUGUUGCUGUUGUUAAAAGUGACAUUUAUUCCAAAUAAAUACAGUUAUGAACUUGGAGACAAACUCUUACUGAUCUACUGCAAACCAUCCAGUGAUCUCCUAGUAGCCUGUAUAGACAAUACUGAGCUAGAUAGACCAAUAGACUGACUCGGUAUAUGGCAGCUUCCUAUGUUCCUAAAUCUCUGAGGUCAUUCACACGACGGGCAGGCAGGCAGGUGGAAGGAUUGUUUUACUCACUUUCCUCCCAGAUGAGAGGGUUCUUGUUUUGGGAGCGCAGACCGCACUCCCAUACGAGCAGCGCUGCAUGGAGGAGUGCGCAGCUCCGGAAGCCAGGACUACGUGUCCCGGCCUCUGGGAAUCCCACAAUGCACUAUGCAACACAUGCAAUGCAUUGGGGGAUUCCCCCAAGAGACAGGUGCUCUAGGCUGGAAACAGCCUGUGCUCACACACGAGCAGGUAGCCCGGGUUAACGGAGUGCUCGCUCCCUUAACCUUGGCUAACAGCUGGGCUAAAAAGCCGGGCUAGGAGGCGCUGCCCCGCCGGGAUUGAGACAAAUCCCAGUGGUUCUCACGUGCAGCUUUAGCCAGGCUGGGCUUCCCUAGCCUGAGUUAGGCUGCGUGUGAGAACAGCCUCUCUCUUGUGCCCACCACUGGAGUAGAUAGCAACAGGCUCAAUCAACCAAUGGUCUGACUUGGAACAAGGCAGCUUCUUACGUUCACAUGGGCCUGAAACGUUAUAAAUUCUGAAACUAUUCAGAGUGAGAAGGAUAUACUAUAACUUGAAGAAUGAUUUAAAAAAAUCAAGCAAAGGAGAUGCGUUGGAAAGAAUUAACACUUUUAUUAGCCUGUGAAAUGGUUGUUUUUCUCUUUAAAAAAAGAAAAGAAAAGUGAGAGAAGAUCGGUCACAGAACUAAUUUAAAAGAGGACUGGCAAUUGAUGACAUGCUCUUGGGAGCAGUCCUGGUAGACAGAAGGCAAGGUGAUAACCCCGUAGUCUCCCACCCCAUCUUUUAUACUGUAUGCAUUAAAGGACAAUGUAUCCCUAUGAGCAUUUAAUAAUUAGGAUAAAUACCCAAGAGUCUCCUUUCUGUUUCCAAUAUGGUCUCUGCCAAUUAAGAAGCUUCUAGUGCAUAAAUUAUACUUUCUGAAAUUAGUAUCACUGAGGCAAUACUAACACUUUGCAAAGAUGAAAUAUUCCACAGCUUUUCCUUAAUAAGGUGUCUUGCACCUGCAGUUUGCAGGGUUCCAGGAGGGGGUAGAGUAGGGGUGAGAAAUAAUAGAAACACUGCUGUAUUUGACACCACUGAUGACACAGAUCACAGACAAUGGAGAAUGAGCAGGAAACAGAAAUGUAUUUGAUGCCCAUUGCCUUGUGGGGACUAUUUAACAAAACCCACAAAUAUUCUAAUAACUGAUUAGUGGGGUGGGGGUGGGAAUCAAAAUUUAGAAGUUCUGACAUAAGGAAUAAGCAUAGAAAUUGUGGAAUAGAUACUGCAGGGCUAUCUUAUGAUUUCCAGAGAAAUGAGAGGUGGCAGAAGGGAUCGUUUUUGCUUCUUCACAUGAGAGCAACAUGGCACAUUGACAACCAUGGUUUCACUUUUGACAGCUUCAACACCAUGGCUGACCCAAAACAUCAGUGCAAUUUGGAUAUACAGCAGAUGUGUAUAACCCCUGCUAACUGAGCAAAAGGACACCUUUUAAAGUGGUGAUUCUCUUAUAUUUAGCAGGGGGAGAGCAACUGGCCCUAUCCAAACCCAGCACAGCAUCCCUCCAGUGGCUUUUGCUGGUGACUACCUUAUGUUUCUUUUUAGAUUGUGAGCCCUUUGGGGACAGGGGACCAUCUUAUUUAUGUAUUAUUUAUUUUUCUAUGUAAACUGCUUUGAGAAUGUUGUUGAAGAGAGGUAUAUAAAUAUUCAUCGUCGUUGUCAUCGUCAUCGUAGUGUACUACACUGUCACCUAUGUUCAUAACAAACCCAAGGGCAGACCUGGCUGUAGCAGCAACAUUAGCACUGGAAUUCAACAGUUAAGCCUAGACAGCAACCAGGCUAAGUGCCACUGAAAUCAAUGAGACCAGUUAGUCAUGACUAAUUGACUGGGACUUAGUCAUGACUAACUUAGUCUGGAUGCUAUGCACUGAGUUUCCCAAUGUCUCAAAAGUUUUUACCUCAUCUGUCAAACACUGGAAUUUCCCAAACAGUGUUGUUAAUGUCUACUAUUAACCUACAGUGGUGCAGAUUUUGAGCUUCAUGAGCAAUUUGGAGGGCAGGGAUGAAAGGGCAAAGGGGAGUCAAACCACAGCUAGUGGGGACAGGGAAGGCAUGGAGUCCUCUCCAACUUUUAACUCUUAAGAAUAUCAAAGUCCUUGCUGGAGAGACCUCCGGCAGUUCUCACUGAAUCCUAAGUCUACCUCUAGCAGGGUUCCCAGGUCAUAUUGCAAUCGUUCUGCAAGUUUCUCCAUUGCCCUGGGGAAACUUACAAAAGCACUGGUUGUGCAACCACCACUUUUGUCCCACCCUGGUGCUGCCUUUGAAGGGUGCAGCCUCCCUACAGCCAGGGGUGUAACUAUAAUAGGGUAAGGGGAGACAGUUGUCUGGGGGCCCACUGCCUUAGGGGGGCCGCCAGAGGCAAGUCACAUGACUGACUCCCCAAGCCACGCACCCGCCUGGCCUUCCUUCAGUUGUAUUCAUCCUCCAGAAUUGAUGUGAGUGUUAAGAUUUGGAGCUACCAGAACAGCAUGUCUUUCUCUAGUACCAUUACAUGACUUGUAUCGUCCACAAUUUACAAAACCUUUUAAUGAUGUUCUAUUGUGGCACAUCGGUUAUAUAGGCCAUUGUCUUUCUUAUUAUUUAUGAGAUGUAGUUGUCCGAGUAUAACUACGUAGAUUGUUCUGAAUAUAGACACUUCCUGAUGAUGAAAAUGUUAGUACUUAUACGGGCAUAUUUAUGCACAACAUAAAUACUGUAAUCUGAAUAGUCUCUCCAUCUCUCCAAGCUCUUUUGGGAAUUGUAGUUCUAUAUGAGGUACUAGAGAUUAACAUAAUUCUCUGCACCCACACUGAACUACAAUUUCCAGGAGACUUUGGGGAAGCCAUGACAGCCAUAACAUACACAUUUGUCAUGUAGAUAUGCCCCAAGUGUCCAGGUUAUUUGCAUAAUGAUUUUAAUAUACCCAAAGUUUCCCUUUCAGUUCCUUUUCAUUCAGGCCCAAGCAAAUAGUCAUAGCAGCAAGACCAUGUCUUCAAAUGGGAGGUCUGUCUCAAUUACAUCUGAAGUGGGGGUUCUAUUUAAAGGAGCCAAAGUGGUGCACAAGCAAGGAAGAAUGCUUAAACUUUAGAGUAACUUUAGAAUGCAGAAAUGCUUAAUAGUUUUAAUAACUCCUCGUACACAUUGCCUUAUUACACUUGCAAUUUUUUUUCCCAAUUGAGCCUUUGCCAGAAGCAAUGCAUAAGGACCCAUGCAACUUCCUCUUACACUUCCAUGGGCACAAAAUAGACCUUUCUGUCACUAGCACAACCCCUCCCCAAAAUCAACACAAUGACAGAGAUGACAAGACAAAACCAGGACUGUUGAGAAGCUAAAGAACAACAAGGACCAUCAUGCAGAGAACCACAGCAAGAAGAAAUGCAAGGGAGAGCAGCAGCUAGAAAUAAAUGAAGGGAGUGGAAAGGGCUGCUGAAAUAAUCACCCCUGACUGCCGGCUUUGGAUAAAGAAGUUGCAACAGAACGACGACAGGGUGAAGAACAGAAAUUCAACCUGUGCAAACAGAUUUCUGAACAAACUGCCCAAGAAUAAAGAGACAAUUCUCUACAUUUGUCUAGGAGAUUAAGUGAAUUAAUUGUAGCAAAACAGGCAACAGCUGCUUUUAUUAAAGUUGCACAAAGGUUUAAAGGAUGGUUGCCAAGCAGAGCAGGUACUUGAAGGUGUAUGUGUGUAUGCGGCAGGGAGCCAUUAAGUCUGUGGGUUCAAGCCCUAUGCUGGGAUGGUACUUCUAACCAUUAUUGUGGCUAGGAUAAGAUGGACAUUUCCUGGAAGCUGCAGAAAUCUUGACAGACCCCUACUGGCCUUGGUAGAACAAAUUCCUCUAGAAGCAGCAAUUCAUGCCAGGGGCAGUCCAAAACAUUCUGACACCUGAAACAGAAGAUCCAAAAGGCACUCUCCGACUGAUUAUCAUUAAAUUUAUUCAGUGAUGGAUUUUAUUGGUUGUCCACUGGAAUACAAAAUUUAAUGAUUAUGAGCUUCCUAAUUCAUUAUUCUCUUUGAUAUGAUUCGUUAUACUGCUAUUUGUAUUUUAUUUAUAGCAAAGCAACACAAGAACAUAAAAACCAAAGCAAUCACAAUUAACAGCAGCAUAAUAAGGAACUGCAAUGUAAAUAAAACCACACAGCAACAAUAACUAGCCGGCAAAAAAUACAGAUGGUAGGGGGAAUUAGUCAUCACAAAAUGUCACGUAGAAAAAGUUAUUCUUUACCAUACAUAAGAAGGAAUAGAUGGAGAGGGUACCAGAGCUUCACAUUCACCCAUCUCUUUGUCAGCCCCAUUUAUACAUUAUGCUCAACACUCAUACAGUGUACAAAUGUACAGUUAUUCACAUGUUUUGCUCAACACAGGUACAGCAGUACACUUCCUAUCUGUACCAUACAUUUGAGGUGCCUAUAUGUGUACAUGUUCACAUUUAACAUGAACGCAAGUAUAGUAAUCAACACCAACACAUGUAUGAGUGUACAGAUAUCUCUACACUAGUACAACAUAAUGUCUGAAUCGGGCUAGGGACAAUGGCAGAACGUGGAGCAAAGAUGAAUGGGGUUUGUGGGUGGCUGGGCAGAAUCAUGAGGAAAGAAUACACUUCUUGUAUAUGUGUGUCCUUCUCAGCAUAUAUGCCGUGUAUAUUUGUGUAUGUGUGCCAUGACAGGGGUCAAGUUCCACUCCUUUAAAGCUCUGUCCAGCUUGAAAAUCCGGGAUUCAACCCAUGGUUGUGGAGGGCUUUAAAGGGACGGAUCGUGAGCACUCUGAUGGCAUGCAUGCACAAGCAUGCACAACGGCAUAUAGGCACAUGCUCAGAAGUGUACUGAGGAAACAUUAUACUGAAAGUAAAAGUAAAAGGACAGGUUUUGGCUGAAACUGCAUUGCCCAAGCAAAAGAUGAGGCAAAUCUCUCACCAAACAUUGGUUCAUAUUCUGACUUUGAAUCUAAUGCACUGACACAUUUUCAACUGGUUCUUCUUUAAAGGAAAAGAAGGAAAGUAAAAUGUUACAGGCACGCUAGUCGAGGAAAGGUUGAACAAUUAAUUAAUUCAAGAAAGAUUAUUAAAGUAAAUAAAAUAAAUGACUAUCACCUCAAAAUAAUAGACUACAAUUAUGAUUGUUGAGGCUUCUGAAGAAAGAUGUAAUAUACUUGUACUUGAUUUUAUUCUGUUAUGAUUUUAGUUUUCUUUUUUAUGCACUCCUUCUGAUAAGUGCAAAAACAAAAACAAAAAGCCCACAACACACCAGUUACUCUAGCCUUGGGCAAUAUUAAUCCCCACCCCCACCUCGCUCAAGGCCACAAAACAAAAAGAACCUAUUUUUAUAGCCUGAAGGGAUUUUUUAAAAAAACUUAAAAUUACAGCUUUACCUUGUUAUUUCUUUCUUUCUUUUUAAAUCUAAUGAUUCUAUAGGGAAAUACUUCACUGGAUAUUCAGAAUAAAAUAAAUGUACAGUUAGAAAAAUAAUAGAGAUGGGGAUUAUAUUGUCUCUGAGUCUUUUGGAUAUGUUGAGAGCUUAAAGGAUGUAUUUGAAAAUAGAUCCCUUUGUUGAAAAGUACCUUUU
This is a long non-coding RNA of Hemicordylus capensis (graceful crag lizard), 12773 nucleotides long. RefSeq lists it as uncharacterized. The transcript has 8 exons. The record is from RefSeq and is a predicted model, not a curated record. NCBI's taxonomy places the organism in Eukaryota, Metazoa, Chordata, Lepidosauria, Squamata, Cordylidae.